GAAUCACAGAAUGGUUUGGGUGGGAAAGGACUGGAAUCAUCCAGUUCCAGCUCCCUGCCAUGGGCAGGGAUGCCUCACACUAGACCAUGUCACCCAAUGCUCCAUCCAGCCUGGCCUUGAACACUGCCAGGGAUGAAUGGUGGGAGAUUGCAUUUAAGGCUGGGGGAGGGAAGAGGAAGCAAGAGUGUGGCUGUGUGUACUCCCACCACCAAAGUUGAAAUAUGUUGCACAGUAAAACUACAGGAGCAUUGCUUAUGGUGUUCAUAGCUUAUAAAGUAUGAUGAGAUAAAGAGCACAGCUCAUCAUCAAGAACUCCAUCAUAUUUCCUUUCUUUUAAGCACUGCUCUGAAAACAAAACUGCUAGAGAACAAGCUUUCAUUUUGCUGAAAGCUUUCAUUGCUCCCUUGCCAGCAGUUGUUGCUGGAGUGUGUAAAACUGCACCAGAUCUUACGAUUCCAGGAAGCCAAGGAAGAGGGCACCAGCUAUUUUUAUCCUAACCUUAUCUUGUCAAGUAAACCCUCAUGCCAGGGAAGUAGCACCUUCACUUCAGAAAGCCUCUCCAGAGCCCAGACCAUACCUCAACGCUGAAGAAUCAGCUUAGCCAAGCAGGAUCACCAGCGGGAGCCUUGCCCUUACAGAAGGUUCUUGAAACUCGCUGCAGCCCUGGCUGUGCCUGUCAGUUUACCAUGGGAAGCUAACACAAGCACGGUACAUGAGGAGCUGUUCAGAAGCCAUGGAGCCACGCAGCUGAGCCUCCCAGGCUCAAAGAGCGUGGAGGAUGACCCAACAUAAGGGAUGCAGAUUUUCUAUGGCAGCAGUGAAUGCAAGCACUAAGAUACACACCAUUUUUGAGGAAACUCUUUAGCAGUUCAUGAUAUAAAACUGAAGGCCAGUUACUCUACCAGGUAACACGAAGUGCACUUUGUAAUGCCAGUUUGCCAUUCCAGAAACACAGAAAGGAACUUAGCAGGUCUUUUGAUUUGGCUAAGAAAUGUUACAAGCACAGUACCUGGACAAAGACAGAAACAAAGAUUGCUGCUAAUCCUUGGAGGUGCAAUGAGCAUGGGGGCUGCUUCCAUGCAUGCUGCAAGUUUUCUGGCAAGGUGAGGCAUAUCCAUUUCUGUCCAUAUAUAUAAAACUCAAUCUGCUUUCCACAUAAACAAGCCUUAACUCAGAGGCUAUCACUUUCUGAAAACAAGGCUAAAUACUCUGCCGCAUAUCUCAACAAGCUGUUAUAAAAGAGCAUCUCUAGAGAGUCAACAAGCAUAAAGAUUUGUGAUGAGUAACGUCAUGUUCUUUUCAAACAGGAGCAAAGCAAGACAAGCUCUUUCCAGCUCACUCAGAGAAAGCCUCCCUGUGGUCUCAGAUGCUUAUGGAAGCCACACAGUCCUCCCACAGCAGAGUCAUAUGGAACCUGAUCUCAACUGAGCCACUGCAACAGAACGGCAGGCCAGCUUCGACCUGCAUAUCCCUUUCCACUCUCAGCAGCUCAGUGCUUGACAGCUCCUCGGUUGUCAGUGAGCACACAGCUAUCCCUGCACCUCCCCAGAAUGAUGUGGCUUUGGCUUAUCUCAGGAAUGAAACUCCAUCCUGCCUAUUUGACCUCUGUUUGUAGGCAGCUUUAUUCCAGGUGAGCCAAAUCUUCACACUCACCUUCACCACAACGUACAUGUCAAAAAGAGGUGGCAUUUGCAAAAAGAACAAGCAAAAACGCUACUCAUUUCUGGCUCCCAAACUAAGGGAUCUCUCCUGUGAAAAUCCACUGCAGCUGCAAUCAUGAGUUAAUGUCCCAGUGCCAGGCCCAAACCAGAACUGGGUAGAGCAGGAUCUCAAUUACUUUCUUGUUCAACAUGUCUACCGCAGUAAGGAUGUAAUGAUGUGACGUAUUACUUACUAUACAGCAAGUUACUGAAACUCUAUCCCUGCAGCUUUAGACUCAACCAGCAACUCCAUAGAAGCCACAGUGACUGAAGGUGUAUAGAAUUUGAUUAAACAUGGCUUUUUACCUAAACCUGAAA
Pezoporus occidentalis (night parrot) is the source of this 2018-nucleotide long non-coding RNA. RefSeq lists it as uncharacterized. The transcript is spliced from 2 exons. Lineage: Eukaryota; Metazoa; Chordata; Aves; Psittaciformes; Psittacidae. The record is from RefSeq and is a predicted model, not a curated record.